AGAAGCAUCGACAAUGGAGGAAACUCUGAUCGUGCGACGCCGCGUGCAGGACGAAGGUCUUCGGAUCGUAAACUGCUUUCGCCAGGGGAGAAAGGCGCACAGGUAAAUAGCCUGAGCGUCAGACGGUACCUGGUAAAGAAGCUCCGGCUAAGUCCGUUCCAGCAGCGGCGGUAAUACGGGCGGAGAGAGCGUUGUUCGGAAUUAUUGGGUGUAAAGGGUGCGAAGGCGGUCGUUUAAGUCGGAAGUGAAAUGUCCACGGCUCAACCGGGAAUCUGCUUCCGAUACUGAACGACUUGAGUGCGGGAGGGGAGCGUGGAAUGCCUGGUGUAGCGGUGAAAUGCGUAGAUAUCAGGAGGAACACCUGUGGCGAAGGCGACGCUCUGGCCCGUAACUGACGCUCAUGCACGAAAGCCAGGGGAGCGAAC
Molecule: ribosomal RNA, 425 nt
Filed under: uncultured bacterium
Lineage: Bacteria
Description: bacterial SSU rRNA
Rfam family: Bacterial small subunit ribosomal RNA
Source: RNAcentral